UCUUUGGUAGUCCAAGCAUUUCACUGAAGACUGCUUCCACCAAAGCAUUAAGGAGAAGCAUUACUGUGAAUCAAGGAAUGAAAAAAGGAACCUACACACAGCUGAGAUAAAAAUUAUUCAUCUGGCAACAAUGAUGUGGUGGAGUCGGAUUCUGCUCUUUCUGAUGUGUCAGAGUUGUUUCAUCAACUGUCAGCUCUAUGAGUAUCUCUACAUUAAUGAGGAAAAGAACUGGACUGAAGCUCAGCAGUACUGCAGAGAGAAACACACUGACCUGGCCACAGUGUCUAACAUGACAGACAUGAAAAGACUCCUCAGUAUCAGAGCAGGAGAUAAGAGGGAUGCUUGGAUUGGUCUGUAUGAUCAGACAGAUGGUAUCAGAACAUGGUACUGGUCUCUGCCUGGAGUGGAGUUCAAUGAAAGGGAGACAAACUGGAGCCCACAACAACCAAAUGAUUUGGCAGGGCCUCAGAACUGUGGGGGUCUGUAUUUGAGUCUUGGAUGGCUAGAUGUUGGUUGCGGAAUUGAAAGACGUUACCUCUGUU
Molecule: long non-coding RNA, 542 nt
Organism: Cyprinodon tularosa
Lineage: Eukaryota; Metazoa; Chordata; Actinopteri; Cyprinodontiformes; Cyprinodontidae
Exons: 3
Source: RefSeq, a predicted model, not a curated record